This 278-nucleotide ribosomal RNA is filed under the name uncultured bacterium. Its description in RNAcentral is "partial 16S ribosomal RNA". It matches the Rfam family "Bacterial small subunit ribosomal RNA", at positions 511 to 788 of the family's 1533-position model. The record is from RNAcentral.
GCAGCCGCGGUAAUACGGGGGAUGCAAGCGUUGUCCGGAAUCAUUGGGCGUAAAGAGUUCGUAGGUGGUUUAUUAAGUCUGGUGUUAAAUGCAGAGGCUCAACUUCUGUUCGGCACUGGAUACUGGUAGACUUGAAUGCGGUAGAGGUAAAGGGAAUUCCUGGUGUAGCGGUGAAAUGCGUAGAUAUCAGGAGGAACAUCGGUGGCGAAAGCGCUUUACUGGGCCGUAAUUGACACUGAGGAACGAAAGCCAGGGUAGCAAAUGGGAUUAGAUACCCC